AUUCCGUGUUCUCUUCAGACCUCUUUGGCGCACGUAUGUGUUCCGUGCACGAUGAUGGUGUGAGCACGGCGCCGCACGGCAUGCAUGCUGCACGCAUGCUAUUCGUGUGUGUGUGUGUGCACCUACGCAUUGCGCCCCCUUGUCCUUUUCGUUCGUCAUCUCGCCCAGCAUUCGGCUCGUCGGCUGCGGACUGUUGCCGAGAGCAAGAAUACAAGAGCGAGCGUGCAAGAUGGGAGAGAGGGGCUGAGGACGAGAGGCACGGUGCUGCGUUCGAUGCCGUCUUUGCCUUCAAUGUGCGAUGGCGAUGCACGCGGGCGCACGUCGCAUGGAUGACGGUGAAAAACAGCAUGGGCAGAUGUCUCUUCUGUAUCCGCACGCAGAGGCACACGCAGACGUCGACUGACACCCAAACACACAGGACGUGGAGAAGAACGAGAAAGCCAAGAGCGAAGGUGUGAGGGGGGGAGAGGCGGAGGCGUGCGGCGUGAGGGGGGACUUAACGCUAAUUUUUCAACGAAACAAAGGAAAGGGAUACCAUCACACACACACGCGCGCGAGAAACGUUCACGAAAAAAGGCGCAGCAGAUUCGAGUACGUUUCAAGAAUCUUUCCCCCUCCCCUAGCUUCUAUCAUGGCAUCAUCGGCGGCAGGUACGUCUUUUCAUGCGUGCCUCCAUCCUGUCCUCUCUCUCCCACUUCCUUGACGCAUGUGCGGUGGAAGCGGUGGUUGGGUGGCGCGACUGACUAAAUCAUCCGCGGGAGGAGACGUUCUUUCUUGCUUGCCAUCUUGUCUUUUCUGUGCUCGCCAGCGAUAGAGAGCGAUGGAGAAAGGGGAGGGGGAGGGGUGGGGUGGCAAGACUGCAAGCACCACGCACCUCAAGCGGAGCUCUGCUGCGAGAUCGCCGCACCUGCGCCGUCCUCCUCUUUUGGCCAUGUCUUCGUCUUCACUGAUUCUUUAUGUCCAUCUCCCCAUCACAUCCGUCCUUCUCUCUCUUUCGGUUCUGCGCACCCGCCUUGGUGGCGCCGACGGCACCGGCUUGUAUCGAG
RNAcentral lists this unclassified non-coding RNA (1046 nucleotides) under Leishmania donovani. Its description in RNAcentral is "gene:unknown". The record is from RNAcentral. Lineage: Eukaryota; Euglenozoa; Kinetoplastea; Trypanosomatida; Trypanosomatidae.